This 379-nucleotide ribosomal RNA is filed under the name Pseudomonas sp. BAKZL1153. Its description in RNAcentral is "partial 16S ribosomal RNA". Lineage: Bacteria; Pseudomonadati; Pseudomonadota; Gammaproteobacteria; Pseudomonadales; Pseudomonadaceae. The record is from RNAcentral.
GUNAGAUCCUGGCUCAGACUCANGUCGUAACAAGGUAGCCUAGGGCGAAUUCUGCAGAUAUCCAUCACACUGGCGGCCGCUCGAGCAUGCAUCUAGAGGGCCCAAUUCGCCCUAUAGUGAGUCGUAUUACAAUUCACUGGCCGUCGUUUUACAACGUCGUGACUGGGAAAACCCUGGCGUUACCCAACUUAAUCGCCUUGCAGCACAUCCCCCUUUCGCCAGCUGGCGUAAUAGCGAAGAGGCCCGCACCGAUCGCCCUUCCCAACAGUUGCGCAGCCUGAAUGGCGAAUGGACGCGCCCUGUAGCGGCGCAUUNAGCGCGGCGGGUGUGGUGGUUACGCGCAGCGUGACCGCUACACUUGCCAGCGCCCUAGCGCCCG